GACGAACGCUGGCGGCGUGCCUAAUACAUGCAAGUCGAGCGGACGAAUCGAAAGCUUGCUUUUGAUUCGUUAGCGGCGGACGGGUGAGUAACACGUGGGCAACCUGCCCUGUAGACGGGGAUAACACCGAGAAAUCGGUGCUAAUACCGGAUAACACGAAAUGUCGCAUGACGUUUCGUUGAAAGACGGCGCAAGCUGUCGCUACAGGAUGGGCCCGCGGCGCAUUAGCUAGUUGGUGAGGUAACGGCUCACCAAGGCGACGAUGCGUAGCCGACCUGAGAGGGUGAUCGGCCACACUGGGACUGAGACACGGCCCAGACUCCUACGGGAGGCAGCAGUAGGGAAUCUUCCGCAAUGGACGAAAGUCUGACGGAGCAACGCCGCGUGAGCGAAGAAGGCCUUCGGGUCGUAAAGCUCUGUUGUUAGGGAAGAACAAGUAACGCAGUAACUGGCGUUACCGUGACGGUACCUAACGAGAAAGCCACGGCUAACUGCGUG
RNAcentral lists this ribosomal RNA (498 nucleotides) under uncultured bacterium. RNAcentral's name for it is "partial 16S ribosomal RNA". It matches the Rfam family "Bacterial small subunit ribosomal RNA", at positions 28 to 507 of the family's 1533-position model. The record is from RNAcentral.